CCGCCCCCGCCCCUCCUGCCGCGCCGUGCCCUUCCCUCCCCUCCCCGGCAUCCGUGUGGGAGCGGCGGGGGCGGCCCGGCGCUUCCUCCUGCAUGAGGUCACACGGCGGCGGGGGAGGGAGCAGCCUCCCCGCUGCGGCCCCCGCUCCCCGCAGGGCUGAGCUAUCAAUUCAAGCUGCAGUUUGAAGGUUGAACACUUCAACGUCUUCAAAAGUAAGAGUUUCAACUUCCAACACAUUGCAUACCUCUUCCAGCUGAAGUUCUGAACCUGUGAAGCCGCCACCAAUAUCCAACAUGUUCAUCUUAAAGCCAAAUUCUUCCUAAAAUGCAUAGGCAGAAUUACAUCAGCCAGCAGAGGACAAUGAAGUUACUCACUUGACACCAAUUAUUUGGACUCCCAGCUCCUUAGCACAUUCCAUAAGGUGCCUACAGUUCUUCAGGGUGGUGCCAAACUUCAUAUUCAUCUCCUCACCA
Molecule: long non-coding RNA, 473 nt
Organism: Passer domesticus (house sparrow)
Lineage: Eukaryota; Metazoa; Chordata; Aves; Passeriformes; Passeridae
Exons: 3
Source: RefSeq, a predicted model, not a curated record